GAGUGGGCACCACCUGAUCCCAUGCCGAACUCAGAAGUGAAACCACUUAGCGCCGAUGAUAGUGUGGGGUCUCCCCAUGUGAAAGUAGGU
This 90-nucleotide ribosomal RNA is filed under the name Terasakiispira papahanaumokuakeensis. The record is from RNAcentral. Lineage: Bacteria; Pseudomonadati; Pseudomonadota; Gammaproteobacteria; Oceanospirillales.